CUGCAGAUGGCUCCAACAUAGAUCCCUACACAGCCAGUAAGAAAAAGGGGUCACAACUCAAGAGACUAUCCUACACCGAAGACUGGACAAAUGGUUUCAUGAAAUGUUUCCCAGCUUUGUUAGGCUGAUACCCAGAAACAGCUGCUCUUCACUUCUCCCAACUGAAAACUCCAGUUAUUAUCAUUAAAACACCACCCUGCAGAAGAUCCACCCGCUCUGAGGGUAAAAACCUGCAGAAGAUCCACCCGCUCUGAGGGUAAGGGUGUAAAGUGUAAAAAGAACCUUUGCUUCUCCUCCCCGGCUCUUCAUUCACUCCCUUUAUUACUGAAGAACAUCACAGAAGGGGUGCCACUCCCUCUCCAGAGAAAGCUACUGCAUCUCAAAAGCAGUUUUGGGAUAGUAGCUGUGUUUCGCCAACAGCAUAUCACACUUGGUGAGGGUUAGCUACCUAGGAAAGCAGGCACAUGGCACAUAACACUGUGCUGCACGGUGUUCCCGCAGAUGUUUGUUCACAAAGCGCAGCCAGCUCAAGUAAAGCACAUGUUUAGGAAAUAGCUGCUCAGAAUAGAGCAAAUAACUCUGAGGAAUAUUCCUUGCUGUCAGUAUCUUCUAUAUAUUUCUACCACUUCACCCCCAAACAGUGACCUCAGGCAAAGACUAAAAUCCAGAAGCAGA
RNAcentral lists this non-coding RNA (675 nucleotides) under Pan troglodytes (chimpanzee). The record is from RNAcentral. Lineage: Eukaryota; Metazoa; Chordata; Mammalia; Primates; Hominidae.